RNAcentral lists this long non-coding RNA (975 nucleotides) under Serinus canaria (Common canary). Its description in RNAcentral is "lncRNA (ENSSCAG00000002938.1)". The record is from RNAcentral. Lineage: Eukaryota; Metazoa; Chordata; Aves; Passeriformes; Fringillidae.
AUGUCGCCACCGCUCCCUGGUCCGCGCUGCUGUCGCAGAGUCUGCGACCCGGAACUACUCCCCGGCUACACCCCUUCCCGCCCCCUGCCCCCAAUGCCGAUGGGGCGCUCCGGUAGGGGCUCUGCGGGGUCUUUUCUGGGGGGUCUGGGCAUGAGAGAGGGCCGGAGAAGGGGACGCGGGUCUCACGAGUGGGACCCUGAGCGCCCGCGGGCCCUCCGAGCAGCCCGGGCGCCGGACCACGCUCCCACAGGCCGCACCCUCACGGCACCCAAGCCUGCCAAUCCCGGCCCGUCUUUCUCCGCCCUGUCCAAUCACAGCCGCCCUUUCAAUCCGGGCGCGGUCCCGCCAAUCUCAGCCUGCCCAGUCACGGCCCGGCCCCUCUGCCUGGUCCCACUCCCCGGUACUCCUGAGGCGCCGCUCCCGCUCCCGCCGCUUUCGGAGCCGGCGGAGCUGUGUUCCCGCUGCCGCAGCCUCGGCAGGCGCUGUUGGGGCCGGGAAGGGCGGGCGGGAGCUUCCAGUUCAGGCGUUAGUUCGGCGGUGAACGUGCGAGUGACUGUUCGGUACGUGCCGAUGUGGGAUUCGAGGAGCGGCGCUGCGCUAGGACUGGACCCCCGCGGCAGCCCGAAGCUGCAGUGAGAAGCAGAAGCAGCUUUUAGCUGCAGGCAGUAAAAAGCAGAGGAGCUGGAGCUGAGGCAGCAGAGCUGGAGGAGACAGAAAUAUGGUAGGGUUUGGGGUAAAACCCCUGUGGGGUUGGGAUAGGGAAUGUGGAGCUGGGAGGUGAACUCCAUGGUCGGAGCUGAAAUUGCUGUAAGGGCUGUGACUGAGCUCAAACCAUACAGAGCUAGAGCUAAAACAAAGAUCCUGCCCUGAGGAGCACAAGUAGCAUUAUGUGGCACUGCUGGGGGGAUGUUGAGGGGGAAGUGGAACAGAAGAGCUGGCAGUGAAAUAAAGCUCGUGGGACUGGAGCUGAAAUCA